Capsicum annuum is the source of this 96-nucleotide non-coding RNA. The record is from Rfam. NCBI's taxonomy places the organism in Eukaryota, Viridiplantae, Streptophyta, Magnoliopsida, Solanales, Solanaceae.
AAUGGCAAUUACAAUGGGAAGCAAGGCUGUAAGGCGAAGCGAAUCCAGAAAUAUUGCCUCAGUUCGGAUUGUUCUCUGCAACUCGAGAACAUGAAG